UGUAUGCAAAAUUCCACAUCAAGUGGACGGUUAGAUUGGACGUUAUAGCUUGUUAAAGCUCACUAAUUAGGAUUGGAGUUUAUAAGAAAAAUCUAAAUUGCUUAACUAUGAAAGUAACAAGGUAAUUGAGAUUUAUGUAUAGUUAAGACUAAUAAGAAUAGUGUUUUAAGCACUUUUGAAUUGAAAUUCAGAUUAUAUUCUUCUCACAUGGAUAAAACUUAUUAGAGUUUUUUGGCUA
Molecule: long non-coding RNA, 238 nt
Filed under: Physcomitrium patens
Lineage: Eukaryota; Viridiplantae; Streptophyta; Bryopsida; Funariales; Funariaceae
Description: long non-coding RNA (PPAT_LNC010222)
Source: RNAcentral